This 253-nucleotide ribosomal RNA is filed under the name uncultured bacterium. Its description in RNAcentral is "partial 16S ribosomal RNA". It matches the Rfam family "Bacterial small subunit ribosomal RNA", at positions 524 to 776 of the family's 1533-position model. The record is from RNAcentral.
UACGUAGGGCGCAAGCGUUAUCCGGAAUUAUUGGGCGUAAAGAGCUCGUAGGCGGUUUGUCGCGUCUGCCGUGAAAGUCCGGGGCUCAACUCCGGAUCUGCGGUGGGUACGGGCAGACUAGAGUGAUGUAGGGGAGACUGGAAUUCCUGGUGUAGCGGUGAAAUGCGCAGAUAUCAGGAGGAACACCGAUGGCGAAGGCAGGUCUCUGGGCAGUAACUGACGCUGAGGAGCGAAAGCAUGGGGAGCGAACAGG